GACGAACGCUGGCGGCGUGCUUAACACAUGCAAGUCGAACGGAAAGGCCCUGCUUUUGUUGGGUGCUCGAGUGGCGAACGGGUGAGUAACACGUGAGUAACCUGCCCUUGACUUUGGGAUAACUUCAGGAAACUGGGGCUAAUAUCGGAUAUGAGCUCCUGCUGCAUGGUGGGGGUUGGAAAGUUUCGGCGGUUGGGGAUGGACUCGCGGCUUAUCAGCUUGUUGGUGGGGUAGUGGCUUACCAAGGCUUUGACGGGUAGCCGGCCUGGGAGGGUGACCGGCCACAUUGGGACUGAGAGACGGCCCAGACUGCUACGGGAGGCAGCAGGGGGGAAUCUUGCACAAUGGGCGGAAGCCUGAUGCAGCAACCCCGCGUGCGGGAUGACGGCCUUCGGGUUGUAAACCGCUUUCGCAUGUGACGAAGCGUGAGUGACGGUAAUGGGUAAAGAAGCACCGGCUAACUACGUG
This 468-nucleotide ribosomal RNA is filed under the name uncultured bacterium. Its description in RNAcentral is "partial 16S ribosomal RNA". It matches the Rfam family "Bacterial small subunit ribosomal RNA", at positions 28 to 507 of the family's 1533-position model. The record is from RNAcentral.